RNAcentral lists this unclassified non-coding RNA (313 nucleotides) under uncultured fungus. Its description in RNAcentral is "partial contains 5.8S ribosomal RNA, internal transcribed spacer 2, and large subunit ribosomal RNA". Lineage: Eukaryota; Fungi. The record is from RNAcentral.
AACGCAUAUUGCGCCCGCGGCCUCGGCCAAGGGCAUGCCUGCCUGAGCGUCAUUAUAACACCUCACAACCCUUCUAGGGGAGUGGAUCUGGCCGUCCGGACUCUCGAGCCUGGUCGGCUGAAAGGCAGAUGCAAAGCCAGCAGCCCAUUCAACGGCAAGGCGUGGUAGACCGCAUCGCGGGCGAUCGUCGUGCCGGGGCUGCCUUUUGGCUUUCGCAUUAGCAGGAACCGCCGCUCUCGACGGACUUCGGUCCGAAAGGAGCCGGCCUUGACCCAUUGACCUCAGAUCAGACAAGAUUACCCGCCGAAUUUAA